UUGUCAGGUGGGGAGUUUGGC
This 21-nucleotide non-coding RNA is filed under the name Arabidopsis thaliana (thale cress). Lineage: Eukaryota; Viridiplantae; Streptophyta; Magnoliopsida; Brassicales; Brassicaceae. The record is from RNAcentral.